RNAcentral lists this transfer RNA (307 nucleotides) under Pusillimonas sp. T7-7. Its description in RNAcentral is "tRNA-Und (NNN) (tRNA-Und-NNN-2-1)". The record is from RNAcentral. Lineage: Bacteria; Pseudomonadati; Pseudomonadota; Betaproteobacteria; Burkholderiales; Alcaligenaceae.
GGAAGGUUGGCAGAGUGGUCGAAUGCACCGGUCUUGUUAACUCGAGCGCCAAUUUGGAAACGAGUUGGAUGUAAGGAGUCAAAUUCGGCGAAGCCCCUGUUUUAUACGAGGUAACGCCGAGCGAAGCCUGAUUCAAUCAGGAACGUGUAGAGACUUGACGGCUCCCACCUAAAGCUGAAAGCUAUGGUGAAGACAAAGUCCAGACUAUCAAACAGGCAGCUUGUGCCUGGUAGUGAAAACUAUAGUAGUAAGGAAAACCGGCAGGGGCGCAAGUUCCUCCAGGGUUCGAAUCCCUGACCUUCCGCCA